UCCGGCCCUACCAUAACAUCGAAGCCAUGAAAUCCUCUCCCCGACAACCGCUCCUCCCGAGCAUCACCUCACCGCUUCCCUACACACCUCGCUGCACCGCAGCCAUCGCCACUCCGUCGCCUAUCUGGUGUUGCCUCCAGUGUCCUCCCAGCUUCUCCGUGCAUCCUCCCGCCGUGCAGCUUGUCCUCUUGCUGCAAAUCGCUUUCUCCCGUAGUAAAUGAAUUCCUCCGCCGUCACGUUGCUCCGCACUUUCGUCAGCUGGUUCAUCGAUCAGGUCAUGCGUCUGGUGUUGCCGCCGCCAUCUUCACUUUUCUGGUGCAGGUCUCGAGCAAUAUCUCGCACCGCCGCAAUCACUGUCUUUUGUUCUUCCUCAGUUUACUUGAAUGGAUGUAGAAAGCCCUAGACCACAAAUUUCUGCAAUGACAGUUUAGGUCCAAAUAGCAGCAGAACCUAUCAUGGAUAUACUACAAGGACUUGGCGUAAAGAUGUUUGAUUCAGUCAGAAGAACUCAAAAGAGGCUGGGAUCACCGAAGAAGACAGCCUAUUGGGGGUGAGGCCUUCGGUAGCGCACAACGGCAGAGUGGAGGGCGGUUGCGUCUGCUGCGGCAACAUGGAGGGCCGCAGGCCCACGGCAUGAAGGGCAACAACGGCCGGCUCCAGUGGUGUGGGAUAAAAAAGGCAGUUGAAGAGAUAACUUUAUCAUGUGGAGAUUGGUCUACUAGAGGGCUACAAUGUGGAGCCUUUUGUUUUGGAGUGGGAGCAGCAGUUCACAGUAUAAAUUGUGAGUAAGAUUGCUAAAAAGGAAUUUUUAUGGAUGAUUUAAGCCAUCAAAUCAACUAUUCUUACCGUUGUACAUUGAUUGAGAUAAUCAUGUAUAUAUUAUUAUUGGUAGCUAUAGAAAAAAUUAACUCCUAAUUUUUAUAUUAGUGUAGAUAAUUUCUCUUCAAAUUACACUCAGUCUCCGUGUAUUCUUGUUAUACA
Molecule: long non-coding RNA, 981 nt
Organism: Oryza brachyantha (malo sina)
Lineage: Eukaryota; Viridiplantae; Streptophyta; Magnoliopsida; Poales; Poaceae
Exons: 4
Source: RefSeq, a predicted model, not a curated record